Molecule: ribosomal RNA, 2353 nt
Filed under: Streptomyces actuosus
Lineage: Bacteria; Bacillati; Actinomycetota; Actinomycetes; Kitasatosporales; Streptomycetaceae
Description: partial 23S ribosomal RNA
Rfam family: Bacterial large subunit ribosomal RNA
Source: RNAcentral
ACAGUGGACGCGAGCAUCUGUGGCCAAGUUUUUAAGGGCGCACGGUGGAUGCCUUGGCACCAGGAACCGAUGAAGGACGUGGGAGGCCGCGAUAGUCCCCGGGGAGUCGUCAACCAGGCUUUGAUCCGGGGGUUUCCGAAUGGGGAAACCCGGCAGUCGUCAUGGGCUGUCACCCACUGCUGAACACAUAGGCAGUGUGGAGGGAACGCGGGGAAGUGAAACAUCUCAGUACCCGCAGGAAGAGAAAACAACCGUGAUUCCGGGAGUAGUGGCGAGCGAAACCGGAUGAGGCCAAACCGUAUGCGUGUGAGACCCGGCAGGGGUUGCGCAUGCGGGGUGGUGGGAUCUCUCUUUCACAGUCUGCCGGCUGUGAGACGAGUCAGAAACCGUUGAUGUAGGCGAAGGACAUGCGAAAGGUCCGGCGUAGAGGGUAAGACCCCCGUAGUCGAAACGUCAGCGGCUCGUUUGAGAGACACCCAAGUAGCACGGGGCCCGAGAAAUCCCGUGUGAAUCUGGCGGGACCACCCGCUAAGCCUAAAUAUUCCCUGGUGACCGAUAGCGGAUAGUACCGUGAGGGAAUGGUGAAAAGUACCCCGGGAGGGGAGUGAAAUAGUACCUGAAACCGUGUGCCUACAAGCCGUGGGAGCGUCGGACAUCAGCUUGCUGGUGUCUCGUGACUGCGUGCCUUUUGAAGAAUGAGCCUGCGAGUUUGCGGUGUGUUGCGAGGUUAACCCGGGUGGGGUAGCCGUAGCGAAAGCGAGUCCGAAUAGGGCGAUUCAGUAGCACGCUCAAGACCCGAAGCGGAGUGAUCUAGCCAUGGGCAGGUUGAAGCGGAGGUAAGACUUCGUGGAGGACCGAACCCACCAGGGUUGAAAACCUGGGGGAUGACCUGUGGUUAGGGGUGAAAGGCCAAUCAAACUCCGUGAUAGCUGGUUCUCCCCGAAAUGCAUUUAGGUGCAGCGUCGUGUGUUUCUUGCCGGAGGUAGAGCACUGGAUAGGCGAUGGGCCCUACCGGGUUACUGACCUUAGCCAAACUCCGAAUGCCGGUAAGUGAGAGCGCGGCAGUGAGACUGUGGGGGAUAAGCUCCAUGGUCGAGAGGGAAACAGCCCAGAGCAUCGACUAAGGCCCCUAAGCGUACGCUAAGUGGGAAAGGAUGUGGAGUCGCACAGACAACCAGGAGGUUGGCUUAGAAGCAGCCACCCUUGAAAGAGUGCGUAAUAGCUCACUGGUCUAGUGAUUCCGCGCCGACAAUGUAGCGGGGCUCAAGCGUACCGCCGAAGUCGUGUCAUUGACACAUAUAGCCCCAACGGGUGUGUUGAUGGGUAGGGGAGCGUCGUCUGCCGGGUGAAGCAGCACCGGAAGGUAGUUGUGGACGGUUGACGAGUGAGAAUGCAGGCAUGAGUAGCGAUACAAACGUGAGAAACGUUUGCGCCGAUUGACUAAGGGUUCCUGGGUCAAGCUGAUCUGCCCAGGGUAAGUCGGGACCUAAGGCGAGGCCGACAGGCGUAGUCGAUGGAUAACCGGUUGAUAUUCCGGUACCCGCUGUGAAGCGUCAAACAUCGAAUCCAGUGAUGCUAAGCCCGUGAAGCCGCCCCUGAUCUCUUCGGAGUGAGGGGGAGUGGUGGAGCCGGUGACCCGAGCUGGUAGUAGGUGAGUGAUGGGGUGACGCAGGAAGGUAGUCCAUCCCGGGCGGUGGUUGUCCCGGGGUAAGGGUGUAGGACGCAGGGUAGGCAAAUCCGCCCUGCACAUAGUCUGAGACCUGAUGCCGAGCCGAUUGUGGUGAAGUGGAUGAUCCUAUGCUGUCGAGAAAAGCCUCUAGCGAGUUUCAUGGCGGCCCGUACCCUAAACCGACUCAGGUGGUCAGGUAGAGAAUACCGAGGCGUUCGGGUGAACUAUGGUUAAGGAACUCGGCAAAAUGCCCCCGUAACUUCGGAGAAGGGGGGCCAUUCCUGGUGACCGGCUUUGCGCCGUGAGCUGGGGGUGGCCGCAGAGACCAGCGAGAAGCGACUGUUUACUAAAAACACAGGUCCGUGCGAAGCCGUAAGGCGAUGUAUACGGACUGACGCCUGCCCGGUGCUGGAACGUUAAGGGGACCGGUUAGUGACCUUUCGGGGUUGCGAAGCUGAGAACUUAAGCGCCAGUAAACGGCGGUGGUAACUAUAACCAUCCUAAGGUAGCGAAAUUCCUUGUCGGGUAAGUUCCGACCUGCACGAAUGGCGUAACGACUUCUCGACUGUCUCAACCAUAGGCCCGGUGAAAUUGCACUACGAGUAAAGAUGCUCGUUUCGCGCAGCAGGACGGAAAGACCCCGGGACCUUUACUACAGUUUGAUAUUGGUGUUCGGUUCGGCUU